This is a long non-coding RNA of Peromyscus leucopus (white-footed mouse), 1072 nucleotides long. RefSeq lists it as uncharacterized. The record is from RefSeq and is a predicted model, not a curated record. NCBI's taxonomy places the organism in Eukaryota, Metazoa, Chordata, Mammalia, Rodentia, Cricetidae. The transcript has 3 exons.
CUUAGCUUGACUCUGCCUUCCCAAAUGGCCGGGCCUCCCCGAGACAAGCCCUUCUCCUGUGUAAGAGGCUGGCCUCCUUUCUGCAGGCUCACUUUUCACCUGCAAACCCAAGGUGUGGGGGGGGGGUGGUCCCCCAGGCCCUGAUCCCCGGUCCUCCUCUACAGGACUUGCUCUCUCACCAGCCCCAUAUCUCAUGUUCUCUCUGCCUGCUUUCUUCUCACGAUGUCCAGACUCGGCGUCAGCGACCUGAAGUGGGUCACCUGCUUAGCUCACUAAAGGGAGCCCCCUCCUCUCAGAUGACAGAGGAGAGGUAGGUGAGAACGGAUGCCCCAUUUACCUACACCAGCCGCUCAAGAUGAAGUGUGCUGAACCCUCACAGUAUGUAUGGAUACCCAGCUCCGAUUUCUCUGCACGAGAGGAGUCGGCACUGCCGGUCCUACAGGACUGCAUUCCAUUUCCCGGGGUGCAUGUACGACAACAAGUAGAAACAGGCAGCCUCCAGCAUGUUUAGCUACAGUCUUAGCCACAGAUAAUCGGCCAGCCUGAAUCUCAGUCAUAUGGAUUCUCUGAGCCGGAAAACAACGGAAGGCAUGCAUGACUCUGUACAGGCUUCUCAGGGUGGAAUCUCCCCCCAAGAACUGAAGCCCCUCUCCUGAGACACGUGCAUACAGCCUCUUGGAUGCCUACAGACUCCUUCCUCGCCACAUUCUUCUCCCCGCCCUUGGAAGAGAUCCCAAGAGAUGACCCGAAGACAUUUAAACCUUGGUCUAUACCUAUAGCUUAAGCUGCUGUCAUUUCCUGAGAGGUAUUUCCGUACUCAAGCAAAAAGACUGCCUAAUCAUGACUGGACUCCAAACCGAUAUUCCUAUACUAUUGGGUGGGAGAGAGGGGUGUGAGCCAUAUCACAAAGUUUAGAACCAUUAUUCAAAUCUAACUCCAUUAGCAAGAUAAAUCAGUUCGUACAAAUCAUUCACUUAGUGUCCUCAGCCUGGAGGCCACCAGACAAGCACAGCCGCGCUCUCGAAGCAUGUUUAAUGAUUUGCCUCUAAAAAAAAAAAAAAAAAAAAAAAAA